This is a long non-coding RNA of Micropterus dolomieu (smallmouth bass), 1090 nucleotides long. RefSeq lists it as uncharacterized. The transcript has 2 exons. The record is from RefSeq and is a predicted model, not a curated record. Lineage: Eukaryota; Metazoa; Chordata; Actinopteri; Centrarchiformes; Centrarchidae.
CCCGUAGACACUCCACCAGGUUGUGGACAUACAGGGUCAUGGCCCUGUAAAACCUCAACUGCUUCUCUGAGGAACUUUCCUCCAGAGUCUCCACAGAGAUUUUAGCGCUCUCAACGUCGGCCUCCAUCCUCCUCAGCUCUGCCUGCCGUGCUCUGUGCACCUCCUUCAGGGAGUCUAGUCUACAAAGAGAGAAAAAUGAGAAAGCGAUGCAAACUGCUGCAUUCACUGCCAGAUGGGCUCUGAGGACAAGAAAAUAGGAGGAUCAAGGAUGUCAAAGCUGCAGUGCAAAGGGGAGUAGCUACACUGAUGGAAGGCUUCAGUCUUCAGAAAAGGAGGCUGUUCUGCUAUUUGAGAAAUCAUACCAGAAAGAGAGAGCAAAACAUUUAGGAAAAAAAAUAACUUAAGAAAAUAUGGAAAAAAGAGAAGAGGGCUGCCUCAAUCUCUUCCUACCUGUUCUCUUGGCCGUCUCUUGAUUCCUUUCCCAAUUUGGGUCUCCUCCCAAAGUUCCUGCUCAUCAGUCCCUGAGAGACUGCCAUCACUUUCUCCUAGAUUGCAUACAAAAUAGUAUACUUCACAAUCCUAAAAAUUUGGGGCAAAACCUCUUCACACCCCAUCUCCCUCCCUUGCAUACCAAAUUUCUCAGCAAUCCUCUCCCUGAUGCUCUUCAAUCGUGGGGCGAACUCGAUUCUUCUCUCAUGAUCAUCUGGCUCAUCAUCAUCAUCCUCAGCUCUGUCGUCUUCGCUGUCCCUGCUAUAGUGAUCCGGGGUGCUACCAGCGGAGCUGUGGCCAUCUCUACCAAGGGAAAUGAACUCUUUCUGGGCUCGGUUAGUGCGACGCUGCCUCCUGGCUGCCUUGAUCUCUUCAGCAUUAGGGAUAACUACUGUAAAGACAAAUCAACAUACACACAAGAAGAAACACACCGUUUGUUGUAAGAAAUAACAGAAGUCUGUAACAACAGAAAGUUGGCUUCUUUACACUGCUGGAAAUGGUGCAAAAUAUGUAUCCUAUGUGUUUGUCUCACUAGAAGUAAUAACAGGACAUUAAAUGUAUACUGAAAAUAUAAAUAAAUUAAAAUAUUGUUAAUAUUGUA